AAAUGCAAGGGCCGGCGAACUAAUGGUUAAUGUGGGCUCAACGGUGCAAGUGUGUUCUUCACGAAUUAGGAUAUAUUUAAUGUCAGGGGGAUUGUUAAUUAUGGAGAUGCUGCUUCCAUAUAUGGAAGUGUGUUCAUUGGUGAUGUUUCCGUGCCUAACCAAGUUGCUUACACUGCAGCUUGGAGCUGGAGGAAUUCAUCAACAGACCAAGUUAAGGAGUUCCUUAGAGAUAUUGUUGCUGGAAAUAUGACAUUUGAAGAUUUCAAUGUUCCCAAGGAGGGAAAUAACUCACUAGGACGUAUUUUUUACUGGAAAUCGACAUGGUUCACAGGUCGUCAACAGAAAACUACAGGUUUUUGGCUUCUAGUAGACGAAGAAUGGCUAAGAAUUGCAUCUCAGAUCGAGUGACUGGAGUUAGAAAAAUGUGUACAAGACCCUUACCAACCAAAAGUUAAGUUCGGCUUAAAGGCUGGUAGUGGUGAUUUGUUCAUCGUAAAUAAAGCAUAUGGUGACUUCCUUUACGACACUUUCAAUAUUUCAACGCUCGACACUUCUGAUUCUGCUAUUGCAAUGACAUGUUUCUCGAAUGAAAUUCCAUUUAUUGUGCUCCGUGGAGUUUCGUACAUUGUAAAAGAAAAUAAUCCAAGGCCGCCGUGUUUUCCGUUGGGAAAUAGCAACGCUGUAAAAGCCACUGCUGCUUUCCUUGGAUUGCUUAGUGCUAAGGAGGACAGUGUGGCCCAAGUGUAGUUAAGUUAAGCGUCUCAGUUUAAAUAAUAUUAGCUGAAUGUAAUCCUACUUUUGGCUAAUUAUCAACACUCAAAUUAUCUAUGUAGCUUGGUUGUCGUGGUCGUCUUCGUCGUCUUGUUGAUGAAAAAAAAAUGUACUUGCAUAUCAGUGAUAUCAAAUAAAUGGGAGUGUAUAUUGCUCCUCCUGUUUAAAAUUAUAUUCUCAAUUUUCUUUU
Molecule: non-coding RNA, 961 nt
Organism: Jatropha curcas
Lineage: Eukaryota; Viridiplantae; Streptophyta; Magnoliopsida; Malpighiales; Euphorbiaceae
Source: RefSeq, a predicted model, not a curated record